This is a non-coding RNA of Aegilops tauschii subsp. strangulata, 799 nucleotides long. The record is from RefSeq and is a predicted model, not a curated record. NCBI's taxonomy places the organism in Eukaryota, Viridiplantae, Streptophyta, Magnoliopsida, Poales, Poaceae.
UACAUACACCACCAAAGUCCAAAGAGUAACCACUUAUUAGCUACCAGGAGUAAGUAACUAACUAAAUACACUUCUAUAACAAAAUAAAUCAGAAACUUAGUUUUCAGUGUAAUGAAACUAAUUUGGCGUUGUAGGUCUUGAUAUAUUUUUCUUAUGGACUUGGUUACAGAGUACAAACUUAACUUGAGAAUGACAGUGUUCAAAAUAGUCAAUGAAAAAUUCAUCAGUACUGAACAUAAUUAACAGAAGUUAUUUUGAUGGUAUAUAAGAAUAUUUAUGGAACAAACAACAUGAAGAUAGCUGAAAUCUUAAACAAAAAUCAAAGCACACUUGUCUGUAAAAAGCUAACAAACUAUGUGAUGCUUCCAGCUAAUAUGUUCAGAGAACAGGAGCAUGAGAAAAAAUAACAGAAACUAUAUGAUUUAACUGGUUUCAAAACAUGAAGUCCUAAAAGCUCUUGUUUUUGACUUUGCAUCCACUGAUAAAGAAGAAUCAGAGUAGUGAGCAAGACUGUAAAUGUUCUGAAAAUUAAAAGAAAAGAGAGAUUGCAUGUUCAUCUUAGCUGCAGUCCUGAUCGUGAGAAGUACAUCCUAUACGUUUUACCAAGGGAACAGUAGGGAUAACAGAAAGUCACUGUUGUCACUGUCCUAGUGAAGAAUUUUGUGCUAUCUACCUUCUUGGUUUACCCCCUAGUGCUUCGAUACAUAUGCAAUUACACAACUGAACAGUAGUAUGCUGGUUUUACUUACAUGAACAAAAUUUAUGUUGGGAGCAGGGAGUAUCCCUGCUGUACGUGUCA